This is a long non-coding RNA of Helianthus annuus (common sunflower), 312 nucleotides long. RefSeq lists it as uncharacterized. The record is from RefSeq and is a predicted model, not a curated record. NCBI's taxonomy places the organism in Eukaryota, Viridiplantae, Streptophyta, Magnoliopsida, Asterales, Asteraceae. The transcript is spliced from 3 exons.
CAGGUUUUACCGGUAGUGCUGGCACUGCAGUUGUUACAAGUCAUAAGGCAGCUCUUUGGACAGAUGGGAGAUAUUACCUCCAGGCUGAGAAGCAGUUGAGCUCGAGCUGGACCCUAAUGCGAUCUGGUAGCUCGGGUGUCCCUAGCACUGCCGAGUGGCUAAAUGAUGUUUUAGCUCCUGGUAGCAGAAUCGACAUCGAUCCCGGAGCAGUUUCUUUUUUCUUCUGAUGCUGUGAAUGAAUUAAAGGAAAGCGUAGCUAAAAGCAAUCACGAGUUAGUUUACUUAUAUCGUGUAAAUCUUGUGGACGAAAUU